AACGAACGCUGGCGGCAGGCCUAACACAUGCAAGUCGAGCGCCCCAGCGAUGGGGAGCGGCGGACGGGUGAGUAACGCGUGGGAACGUGCCUCUUGCUACGGAAUAGCCUCGGGAAACUGGGAGUAAUACCGUAUGUGCCCUACGGGGGAAAGAUUUAUCGGCAAGAGAUCGGCCCGCGUUGGAUUAGGUAGUUGGUGGGGUAAUGGCCUACCAAGCCGACGAUCCAUAGCUGGUUUGAGAGGAUGAUCAGCCACACUGGGGACUGAGACACGGCCCAGACUCCUACGGGAGGCAGCAGUGGGGAAUCUUAGACAAUGGGCGCAAGCCUGAUCUAGCCAUGCCGCGUGAGCGAUGAAGGCCUUAGGGUUGUAAAGCUCUUUCAGUGGGGAAGAUAAUGACUGUACCCACAGAAGAAGCCCCGGCUAACUCCGUGCCAGCAGCCGCGGUAAAGUACAGUGU
This 460-nucleotide ribosomal RNA is filed under the name uncultured bacterium. RNAcentral's name for it is "bacterial SSU rRNA". It matches the Rfam family "Bacterial small subunit ribosomal RNA", at positions 29 to 533 of the family's 1533-position model. The record is from RNAcentral.